RNAcentral lists this ribosomal RNA (263 nucleotides) under uncultured bacterium. Its description in RNAcentral is "partial 16S ribosomal RNA". It matches the Rfam family "Bacterial small subunit ribosomal RNA", at positions 88 to 354 of the family's 1533-position model. The record is from RNAcentral.
CCGGCGACCGGCGCACGGGUGAGUAACACGUAUGCAACCUGCCCUCUUCAGGGGGACAACCUUCCGAAAGGGAGGCUAAUCCCGCGUAUANCGUUUCGGGCAUCCGAGAUCGAGGAAAGAUUCAUCGGAAGAGGAUGGGCAUGCGGCGCAUUAGCUAGACGGCGGGGUAACGGCCCACCGUGGCGACGAUGCGUAGGGGUUCUGAGAGGAAGGUCCCCACACUGGUACUGAGACACGGACCAGACUCCUACGGGAGGCAGCAG